GAUCAUGGUUCAGGAUGAACGCUAGCUACAGGCUUAACACAUGCAAGUUGAGGGGCAGCAUGACGGAAGCUUGCUUCCGUUGAUGGCGACCGGCGCACGGGUGAGUAACGUGUAUCCAACCUGCCCUUGUCCAUCGGAUAACCCGUCGAAAGGCGGACUAACACGAUAUGCAGUCCACAGCAGGCAUCUAACGUGGACGAAAUGUGAAGGAGAAGGAUGGGGAUGCGU
RNAcentral lists this ribosomal RNA (228 nucleotides) under uncultured bacterium. RNAcentral's name for it is "partial 16S ribosomal RNA". It matches the Rfam family "Bacterial small subunit ribosomal RNA", at positions 15 to 236 of the family's 1533-position model. The record is from RNAcentral.